RNAcentral lists this ribosomal RNA (429 nucleotides) under Verrucomicrobiota bacterium. RNAcentral describes it as "Verrucomicrobia bacterium partial 16S ribosomal RNA". It matches the Rfam family "Bacterial small subunit ribosomal RNA", at positions 355 to 776 of the family's 1533-position model. Lineage: Bacteria; Pseudomonadati; Verrucomicrobiota. The record is from RNAcentral.
UAGGGAAUCUUCGGCAAUGGGGGGAACCCUGACCGAGCAACGCCGCGUGAGUGAAGAAGGUUUUCGGAUCGUAAAGCUCUGUUGUUAAGGAAGAACGAGUGUGAGAAUGGAAAGUUCAUGCUGUGACGGUACUUAACCAGAAAGGGACGGCUAACUACGUGCCAGCAGCCGCGGUAAUACGUAGGUCCCGAGCGUUGUCCGGAUUUAUUGGGCGUAAAGCGAGCGCAGGCGGUUAGAAAAGUCUGAAGUGAAAGGCAGUGGCUCAACCAUUGUAGGCUUUGGAAACUGUUUAACUUGAGUGCAGAAGGGGAGAGUGGAAUUCCAUGUGUGGCGGUGAAAUGCGUAGAUAUAUGGAGGAACACCGGGGGCGAAAGCGGCUCUCUGGUCUGUAACUGACGCUGAGGCUCGAAAGCGUGGGGAGCGAACAGG